UGGGGAAUUUUGGACAAUGGGCGAAAGCCUGAUCCAGCAAUGCCGCGUGUGUGAAGAAGGCCUUCGGGUUGUAAAGCACUUUUGUCCGGAAAGAAAUCCUUGGCUCUAAUACAGUCGGGGGAUGACGGUACCGGAAGAAUAAGCACCGGCUAACUACGUGCCAGCAGCCGCGGUAAUACGUAGGGUGCAAGCGUUAAUCGGAAUUACUGGGCGUAAAGCGUGCGCAGGCGGUUUGCUAAGACCGAUGUGAAAUCCCCGGGCUCAACCUGGGAACUGCAUUGGUGACUGGCAGGCUAGAGUAUGGCAGAGGGGGGUAGAAUUCCACGUGUAGCAGUGAAAUGCGUAGAGAUGUGGAGGAAUACCGAUGGCGAAGGCAGCCCCCUGGGCCAAUACUGACGCUCAUGCACGAAAGCGUGGGGAGCAAACAGGAUUAGAUACCCUGGUAGUCCACGCCCUAAACGAUGUCAACUAGUUGUCGGGUCUUCAUUGACUUGGUAACGUAGCUAACGCGUGAAGUUGACCGCCUGGGGAGUACGGUCGCAAGAUUAAAACUCAAAUGAAUUGACGGGGUCAUAGCUGUUUCC
RNAcentral lists this ribosomal RNA (584 nucleotides) under uncultured bacterium. RNAcentral's name for it is "partial 16S ribosomal RNA". It matches the Rfam family "Bacterial small subunit ribosomal RNA", at positions 355 to 937 of the family's 1533-position model. The record is from RNAcentral.